Molecule: non-coding RNA, 86 nt
Organism: Violaceomyces palustris
Lineage: Eukaryota; Fungi; Basidiomycota; Ustilaginomycetes; Violaceomycetales; Violaceomycetaceae
Source: the annotation of a GenBank genome assembly
GGGGAUUUAGUUCAGUGGUAGAGCGUUCGCUUUGCAUGUAACCAUCUGCUUGCGAAAAGUCGCCGGUUCAAUCCCGGCAGUCUCCA